Molecule: long non-coding RNA, 580 nt
Filed under: Ananas comosus (pineapple)
Lineage: Eukaryota; Viridiplantae; Streptophyta; Magnoliopsida; Poales; Bromeliaceae
Description: long non-coding RNA (ACOM_LNC010690)
Source: RNAcentral
UCUUAGAUAUAGAGAGUAAGUCUUCCUUGUUUUCGAAAGUACAGAGGCUUUCGUAUUUGUAAGUUAUUUUUUAUGAUAAAACAUUCGGUUUGACGUAUGGUUCUAUUAGGCAUAAUCUACGCUAUUGGAAUUAUCUAGAAACCAAAUUUCAUAAUUUUUUGAAAUCAUUUAUCAGGUGAUCAAAAGGUUUUAAAAAUAACUAUUUUAAUAGUCGAUAUGGUACAUUUUUAAGUUCAACGGUAUAAAACAAUCCAAAUUACAUGAAAUUUGAUAGAAAAUUCUAUUUAACAUUAAUAGUAAGAUCAAUACAUCUGAUUUAAAAUUUGAGUCUUUUAUCAUUAUUUUUUAUAAAUUUUUAUUUUCAGUCGUUUAUUUAUAGACUAUUCGUUCUAGACAAGUAAAAUCAUUGAUUUCUAUAUAGUUUCAAUAGCGUAAAUCAUGUCUAACGAACUCAAUCGCCGAAUCGGAUAUCGAAUCAUUGAAAACAAAUUAUAAGUACGAAAGCCUCGGUGUUUUCGAAAGCAUAAGAGUCUACCUCUAGAUACAGAUAUAUUCGAAAAGUAAUUAGUGGGACCUAACU